Molecule: ribosomal RNA, 401 nt
Filed under: uncultured bacterium
Lineage: Bacteria
Description: bacterial SSU rRNA
Rfam family: Bacterial small subunit ribosomal RNA
Source: RNAcentral
UGGGGAAUAUUGGACAAUGGGCGAAAGCCUGAUCCAGCAAUGCCGCGUGAGUGAUGAAGGCCCUAGGGUUGUAAAGCUCUUUUACCCGGGAUGAUAAUGACAGUACCGGGAGAAUAAGCCCCGGCUAACUUCGUGCCAGCAGCCGCGGUAAGACGAAGGGGGCUAGCGUUGUUCGGAAUUACUGGGCGUAAAGCGCGUGUAGGCGGUUGUCCAAGUCGGGUGUGAAAGCCUUGAGCUCAACUCAAGAAAUGCACUCGAUACUGGGCGACUCGAGUGCCGGAGAGGAUAGUGGAAUUCCCAGUGUAGUGGUGAAAUACGUAGAGAUUGGGAAGAACACCAGUGGCGAAGGCGGCUAUCUGGACGGUUACUGACGCUAAGACGCGAAAGCGUGGGGAGCAAAC